Molecule: ribosomal RNA, 940 nt
Filed under: Aquimassariosphaeria kunmingensis
Lineage: Eukaryota; Fungi; Ascomycota; Dothideomycetes; Pleosporales; Lindgomycetaceae
Description: SSU rRNA
Rfam family: Eukaryotic small subunit ribosomal RNA
Source: RNAcentral
CCUUACUACUUGGAUAACCGUGGUAAUUCUAGAGCUAAUACAUGCUAAAAACCCCAACUUCGGGAGGGGUGUAUUUAUUAGAUAAAAAACCAAUGCCCUUCGGGGCUCUUUGGUGAUUCAUGAUAACUUAACGGAUCGCAUGGCCUUGCGCCGGCGACGGUUCAUUCAAAUUUCUGCCCUAUCAACUUUCGAUGGUAAGGUAUUGGCUUACCAUGGUUUCAACGGGUAACGGGGAAUUAGGGUUCGAUUCCGGAGAGGGAGCCUGAGAAACGGCUACCACAUCCAAGGAAGGCAGCAGGCGCGCAAAUUACCCAAUCCCGACACGGGGAGGUAGUGACAAUAAAUACUGAUACAGGGCUCUUUUGGGUCUUGUAAUUGGAAUGAGUACAAUUUAAACCCCUUAACGAGGAACAAUUGGAGGGCAAGUCUGGUGCCAGCAGCCGCGGUAAUUCCAGCUCCAAUAGCGUAUAUUAAAGUUGUUGCAGUUAAAAAGCUCGUAGUUGAAACUUGGGCCUGGCUGUCUGGUCCGCCUCACCGCGUGUACUGGUUCGGCCGGGCCUUUCCUUCUGGAGAGCCUCAUGCCCUUCACUGGGUGUGUUGGGGAACCAGGACUUUUACUUUGAAAAAAUUAGAGUGUUCAAAGCAGGCCUUUGCUCGAAUACGUUAGCAUGGAAUAAUAGAAUAGGACGUGCGAUCCUAUUUUGUUGGUUUCUAGGACCGCCGUAAUGAUUAAUAGGGAUAGUCGGGGGCAUCAGUAUUCAAUUGUCAGAGGUGAAAUUCUUGGAUUUAUUGAAGACUAACUACUGCGAAAGCAUUUGCCAAGGAUGUUUUCAUUAAUCAGUGAACGAAAGUUAGGGGAUCGAAGACGAUCAGAUACCGUCGUAGUCUUAACCGUAAACUAUGCCGACUAGGGAUCGGGCGAUGUUAUUAUUUUGACUCG